AUGACAUCUUAGUCCCUUGCCAUGUUCUGUGACAGUGGGGGAAGACCCAGCUUACAAGACAGCUGGUUCUAUUUUUCCAGGUGAGGUCUCAAUGUAAAGAAAUGGCUGUGGAUGAAAUGAGAAGUGGAGGUGGAAUGUACCAGUUUCAAGGUAGGGGAUAUGGUUGGCUAUAUGAUGAAUUUUAGAUUUCCUUGGUGUGUGCAAGCAGUAUACAUCAUUAGAACAAGAUAGGAUAGGGGCAACAGCGUCUGAAGAUGUGAAUGGUUUCUACCACUUGUUGUUACUGUGAAUGCUCUUCCUGUGGAUUGAAAUUCAGAGGCUAUAAAGAUGACAUUUAAGAAAUGACCCCUUUUGUGCAUUAUCUGUUGCAAGUUGGGAGAGGAAAGUUUCUUUUUUUAUAUGUUUAGUUGACACCUAAUAAUUAUACAUACUUAUGGGGUACAGAGUAUUUCCAUACAUGCAUAUGAUGUUUAGUGAUCAAAUAGGUAAUUAGCGUAUCCAUCAGCUCAAACAUCGAUCCUUUCUUUGUGUUGGGAACAUUCAAAAUCCUCUCUUCCAGCGUUGGACCACAUACAAUAAAUGAUUGUUAACCAAAUUCCAAAUUCACCCUGCGGUGUGAAGAGGAAAGGUUCUUUGUCGGACAUUAUUCCAGGGCACUUACUUGCUGGCGUGCUCCCUGCCUCUCCUGCUCCAUUCCUCAGCUGCCAAGUGCUGGCAGGGUUGUGUGUGCAGUUGCAAGUUGUCACUUGGGUAAUAAAGGAGAAGGAGCAUAGCUUGGCAGACUCUCCGACAUGGCCAUGUGCAUCCUGCGCAAAUAGAAUUAUGAUUAAUGACUAGCCUGGCAGCUGAAUUGGACUAGAGAACUUGGCCGAGGUCAAGGUAGGCCCAAGGAGCAGCCUGGGUGAGGCUGUCUGAGGGCGGAGAUGGCGCAGAUGAGGGGCAAGGCCCAAAGGAAGGCAGGCAGGGGGUGCUGAUUACUUGGGGGAUCCUGUGUAAGGAGGGGAUCUGCAGAGCAGGGGAGUUGGGAAGGGUGGUAGGGAUCUGAGCCCAUGUCCUAUGCACAAGGCCUGACUCCUCCUGUGGCCAAGCUUGAGCUGCUCUGCUGCCUUUGUAGGCUGCUGUGUUAGUUUCCUCCAGCAGCCAUAAAAGUUACCUCCAUCUUGAUGGCUUAAAACAGUUAUGAAGGCCAGAAUUGAAAGAUGAGAUUAUUGGCAGGGUCUCACUCCCUCCUAAUGCUCUAGGGUAGAACCCUCCCUUGCCUCUGACAGCUUCUAGUGCAUGUCAGCAUGCCUCGGCUUCCCUGGAUGCAUGGCUCCAGUGUGCCUCAGUGGCCACAGUCCCUCCUCCUCCUCAUGUGUCUUCUCCUCUUCUGUCUGUUACAAAGGUACUCGUCAUUAAAUUCAGUGCCCACCUGGGUAACCCAGAAUGAUCUGAUCUCUUCAUUACUUCUGCAAGGACCCUUUUUUUGAAAGAAGGUCACAGUCACAGGUUCCAGGGGUUAGGAAAUGGACAUAAUGUUGGGGACCACCAUUCAACCCAUUACAGUUGCUGAGAGAAUUGUGAGGGCCUAAAUCUGUAUUGGUUUUUAAAAAACUUUUUUUUUUGGUUUCAGUUGAGACCACACAUAUUCACUGGGCUUGAAUUUGCAUGUGGUGUUCAGUGGCAGGCAAGCCAGCUUUCAGGAUGUCUGUUAUCCAAAGCUACACUCUUAGGGCACCUCCAGAUGACUCUCGGGCUUUCCAAUCUGAUCUUCUGCUUCUCCCCCUCCACGUGUGCCCUUCAUCUUGUGGUAGGCAAAUCAGACUCAAUACCUACGGAGAAAGCAAAGGACAUCAGUGACCAUCUAAUUCACAUGUGUUACAAAUGAUUGACACAACUCUAACUGACUCUGCCCUAGACUCCUAACAGAUACUAAUUAUCUACUGUGACACCAGUUCAGACAGAGCCUAUCUAUGAUGGUUAAUUUUGUGUCAACUUGAUGGGGCCACAGGAUGCCCAGAUGUCUGAUGAGCAUUGGAAUUGGUAUGCUGGGGAAAGCAGACUUCCCAGUGUGGGUGGGCCUCAUCCAGUUCAUUGAGGGCAUGGAUAGAACAAGAGGGUGAAGGAAGGUUGGAUUCACCCUCUCUCUGUCUGACUGCUUGAGUUGUACAUCAGUCUACCGCCUGCUCCUAGUUCUCAGGCCUUCGAACUCAGACUGAAAUCUACACUAUUGGCUCUCCACCUCUCAGGCCUUCAAAACACAGUGCUGGAAUUCCUGGGUUUCCAGAAAACACAGCACUGGAAUUCCUGGGUUUCCAGAGUGCAAAUAGCAGAUCCUGGGACUUCUCAGACUCUGUAAUCAAUACGUUAUAAGAAAUCACACACACACACACACACACACACACACACACACACACACACACACACACACACACGUUCUAUUGGUUCUGUUUCACUGGAGAACCGUGACUGAUACAGAGCUUCAGACCUCUCAGUCCAGGCCUCAGUAGCUGCUGUCAUGGGUUAGGGAUAGCACACAAAAUGAAAUCUCUGCCACUUCUGACCCAAAACGAGCCUCAUUUCAUAGAUAAGGAAACUGGGGCCCAUGGAGGAUGAGAUAAUUGAAAGGUGGUUGUCUAUUCAAGUGGUAUUUUAACAUUUCAUUUCCCAUGUCAAAAAAAAAAUAAGAUGAACAGCCUGUAGAUUUCCAAAUCAGGAUUUUUUUGACUUUAAAAACACCUAAUAUUGAACUGAUUUUCUUCAUAUUUUUUAAUAGCUUCCCAAGCCACAUAGAAACCUGGAGCCUGUCACCCUACCAGUGUGACUUAUGACAUACUGUACAGCCACUCUGUUCCAUAGCUUUCAGGAUCCAUCUGUUAGCUCAUAUAAAACAAAAUUUCUAUUAAAUGGGAUUUUAGAAAUAUUAUCAUGG
This 2911-nucleotide long non-coding RNA is filed under the name Homo sapiens (human). Its description in RNAcentral is "HSALNT0121328". Lineage: Eukaryota; Metazoa; Chordata; Mammalia; Primates; Hominidae. The record is from RNAcentral.